UAUUUUAUGAAUCCAUAAAAAAAUCCCAAAAACUAAUAUUUAUUUUGACCAUUUUUAUUAGGUAGAAAACUAGUGCAUUUUACGUUGUUUUUAGGCCUUUUAAUGGAUUUUAUUUUAUUGUUUCCUUGUUCUAAGUGAUCAUAGAUGUUUGUGUGACUAAUGUAUAUUUGUUUAGGUCUUGUUUGAUGCUUGUGUGACCAAUGUAUAUUUGUUUAG
This 216-nucleotide long non-coding RNA is filed under the name Lathyrus oleraceus (garden pea). RNAcentral's name for it is "Pisum sativum (pea) long non-coding RNA (PSAT_LNC012533)". Lineage: Eukaryota; Viridiplantae; Streptophyta; Magnoliopsida; Fabales; Fabaceae. The record is from RNAcentral.